RNAcentral lists this ribosomal RNA (660 nucleotides) under Plumularia warreni. RNAcentral describes it as "eukaryotic LSU rRNA". The stretch from base 296 to 449 matches the Rfam family "5.8S ribosomal RNA". The record is from RNAcentral. Lineage: Eukaryota; Metazoa; Cnidaria; Hydrozoa; Leptothecata; Plumulariidae.
UUUAAUGAGAACUCCGGAUUGGCCUCCUCUGCGCCACUCUGUGGUGCACUGCGUGGCCGAGAAGCUGUUCAAAUUUGAUCAUUUAGAGGAAGUAAAAGUCGUAACAAGGUUUCCGUAGGUGAACCUGCGGAAGGAUCAUUACUGUACCUUACGUGUGCUUAAUACACUGUGAACAACGAAGGGGCAACGUGUGCGUGCGGGAUUCUGCUGCUUCUGUAGACCCGCACGCGCACGAGAGUUACUUUUUUAGACGUACCUAUUGUAGCCGAAACGAGCGUAAAAUGUAAAAAGAGAAAACUGCUGACGGCGGAUCUCUUGGUUCGUGUAUCGAUGAAGAACGUAGCCAGUUGCGAAAAGUAAUGUGAAUUGCAGAAUGAAGUGAAUCAUCGAAUCUUUGAACGCAAAUUGCACUCUUUGGAAUUCCAUUGAGUAUGUCUGUCUGAGUGUCUUGACAAACCUUACACUCCGGUGUGGACUCGGGCUCCUGGUCCACGCAAGUGGACUCGCGCCUGCAAGACCCUACUCGGCAACGCUUGAGACAACAACGUUUGAUCUUAGACAAGCUCCGUCCGAGUCAAAAAUUCAACAUGGACCUCAGAUCAGGCAAGACUACCCGCUGAAUUUAAGCAUAUUAAUGAGCGGAGGAAAAGAAACUAACUA